This 1435-nucleotide ribosomal RNA is filed under the name metagenome. RNAcentral's name for it is "bacterial SSU rRNA". It matches the Rfam family "Archaeal small subunit ribosomal RNA". The record is from RNAcentral.
AUCCGUUGAUCCUGCGGAAGAUUGCUGCUAUUAGGAUUCGACUUAGCCAUGCAAGUCAAGGGGGUCUUCGGACCACCGGCGAAAUCUCAGUAACACGUUGAUAAUCUAACCUUAAGUCAAUGAUAACCUUGGGAAACUGAGGCUAAACAUUGAUAGGAGAUAAACAUUGGAAUAUGUUAUCUUUCAAACUCCGGGCUUAAGGAUGAGUCAGCGGCUGAUUAGGUUGUUGGCGGGGUAAUGGCCCACCAAGCCUUUGAUCAGUAGAGGCUGUGAGAGCGGUAGCCUCGAGAAGGGCACUGAGAAAAGGGCCCUAGCCCUACGGGGUGCAGCAGGCGCGAAAACUUUACAAUGCACGAAAGUGUGAUAAGGGAAUCCUGAGUGCUAAUGCAAUGCAUUAGCUUUUGCCAAGAGUAAAUAUCUUGGCGAAUAAGUGGUGGGAAAGACUGGUGCCAGCCGCCGCGGUAAUACCAGCGCCACAAGUAGCAAUCGCGUUUAUUGGGCCUAAAGCGUCCGUAGCUUGUCUAAAAAGUUUUUUGUGAAAUCGUCGGGCUCAACCUGACGGCGUGCAAGAAAAACUAUUAGGCUUGGGACUGGGAGGAGUCAGAAGUAUUCCUUGGGGAGCGGUAAAAUGCUAUAAUCCUUGGAAGACUACCUGUGGCGAAGGCGUCUGACUAGAACAGAUCCGACCGUGAGGGACGAAAGCUAGGGGAGCAAACCGGAUUAGAUACCCGAGUAGUCCUAGCUGUAAACGCUGUGAGCUAGGCAUUGCAUAAUCAUAAGGAUUAUGCAGAGUCGUAGUGAAGACGUUAAGCUCACCGCCUGGGAAGUAUAGUCGCAAGGCUGAAACUUAAAGGAAUUGGCGGGGGAGCACCACCAGGGGUGCGGCGUGCGGUUUAAUCUAAAUUCACACAGAGAAUCUCACCAGGGGCGACGGCAGAAUGAAGGUCAGAUUGAAGGUCUUACCUGACGAGCCGAGAGGUAGUGCAUGGCCGCCGUCAGCUCGUGCCGUAAGGUGUCCUGUUAAGUCAGGCAACGAGCGAGACCUGUAUCUACAAUUGCUACCGAGUUCUUUAGAAUGAUCGGGCACAUUGUAGAGACUGCCCUCGAAAGGGGGAGGAAGGUGCAGGCUACUGUAGGUCUGUAUGCUCCGAAUCUCCUGGGCUACACGCGCGCAACAAUGGUAGAGACAAUGGGCUACAACUCCGAAAGGAGAAGUUAAUCCUCGAAACUCUAUCCAAGUCCAGAUUGAGCUCUGUAACUCGAGCUCAUGACGAUGGAAUCCCUAGUAAUCGGACUUUAUCAGAGUCCGGUGAAUAUGUCCCUGCUCCUUGCACACACCGCCCGUCAAACCAUCCGAGCAGGGUUUAGAUGAGGUUCAGUUUUUUGAUUGUAUCGAAUCUAAACUCAGUGAGGGGGGUUAAGUCGUCACAAGGUA